UAGGGAAUAUUGCUCAAUGGGGGAAACCCUGAAGCAGCAACGCCGCGUGGAGGAUGAAGGUUUUUCGGAUUGUAAACUCCUUUUGUUAGAGAAGAUAAUGACGGUAUCUAACGAAUAAGCACCGGCUAACUCCGUGCC
RNAcentral lists this ribosomal RNA (138 nucleotides) under uncultured bacterium. RNAcentral describes it as "partial 16S ribosomal RNA". It matches the Rfam family "Bacterial small subunit ribosomal RNA", at positions 355 to 509 of the family's 1533-position model. The record is from RNAcentral.